Molecule: ribosomal RNA, 430 nt
Filed under: Leptodactylus notoaktites group sp. ABGD cluster 61
Lineage: Eukaryota; Metazoa; Chordata; Amphibia; Anura; Leptodactylidae
Description: partial large subunit ribosomal RNA
Rfam family: Bacterial large subunit ribosomal RNA
Source: RNAcentral
CUUGAUAAACUUAUAAAAGGUCCAGCCUGCCCAGUGACUCUGUUCAACGGCCGCGGUAUCCUAACCGUGCGAAGGUAGCGUAAUCACUUGUUCUUUAAAUGAGGACUAGUAUGAAUGGCACCACGAAGGUUAUACUGUCUCCUUUUUCUAAUCAGUGAAACUAAUCUUCCCGUGAAGAAGCGGGAAUAAAAAUAUAAGACGAGAAGACCCUAUGGAGCUUUAAACAAAUAUACACCUGCCUUCCCACCAAAAAAAUUUCAGCAAACAAAUAAUUACCCAGGCAUUUUGAUAUAGCGUUUUAGGUUGGGGUGACCACGGAGCAAAAAACAACCUCCGCAACGAACGGGAAAAUCUUUCCCUAAACCAAGGGCCACGACCCCAAGUAUCGAUAAAUCGACACUAAUUGACCCAAUAAAUUUGAUCAAUGAAC